UACGUAGGGCGCAAGCGUUGUCCGGAAUUAUUGGGCGUAAAGCGCUCGUAGGCGGUCUGUUGCGUCUGCUGUGAAAACUCGGGGCUUAACCCCGAGCCUGCAGUGGAUACGGGCAGACUAGAGGUAGGUAGGGGAGAAUGGAAUUCCCGGUGUAGCGGUGAAAUGCGCAGAUAUCGGGAGGAACACCGGUGGCGAAGGCGGUUCUCUGGGCCUGACCUGACGCUGAGGAGCGAAAGCGUGGGGAGCAAACAGG
RNAcentral lists this ribosomal RNA (253 nucleotides) under uncultured bacterium. RNAcentral's name for it is "partial 16S ribosomal RNA". It matches the Rfam family "Bacterial small subunit ribosomal RNA", at positions 524 to 776 of the family's 1533-position model. The record is from RNAcentral.